UUUCCGUAGGUGAACCUGCGGAAGGAUCAUUAUUGUGUAAUCGAGGUGCGAGGGCUGUCGCUGACCCGAAAGGUCGUGCACGCCCGAGUGCCCUCACACACAUCCAUCUCACCCCUAUGUGCACCACCGCGUGGGUCCCCCUUUGGCUUGUUCGGAGGGGGGCUUACGUUUUCACACAAACUUUGUAUGCAGUGUAGAAUGUAUUUUUUGUUUUUGCGAUCACGCAAUCAAUACAACUUUCAACAACGGAUCUCUUGGCUCUC
Molecule: unclassified non-coding RNA, 263 nt
Filed under: plant metagenome
Description: partial contains small subunit ribosomal RNA, internal transcribed spacer 1, and 5.8S ribosomal RNA
Source: RNAcentral